UUAACUAUUAUAUAGUACUCAGACAUCACUAAACAAAAGAGUUGGGUCCUCUGGCAAGCGCUCGCCGGCCGGAGCCAGCAGCCCGAGGGCAGGCCUGCCAAAGCAACAAAGUGUAAUAAACAAAGGGUGGUAGGUUACCCGGGGGGCCUUGCGGCAACCCGGGUGACUACUGUAAUGAUCCUUCCGCAGGUUCACCUACGGAAA
Molecule: unclassified non-coding RNA, 204 nt
Filed under: uncultured fungus
Lineage: Eukaryota; Fungi
Description: sequence contains ITS1, 5.8S rRNA gene
Source: RNAcentral